This 72-nucleotide transfer RNA is filed under the name Marmota monax (woodchuck). RNAcentral's name for it is "tRNA.His". Lineage: Eukaryota; Metazoa; Chordata; Mammalia; Rodentia; Sciuridae. The record is from RNAcentral.
GGGGAUGUAGCUCAGCAGGAGAGAGCUUGCUUAAUGUAUGCAAGGCCCUGGGUUCCAUCCCCAGCACCCGCC